CCUACGGGAGGCAGCAGUGGGGAAUAUUGGACAAUGGGGGAAACCCUGAUCCAGCGACGCCGCGUGAGUGAAGAAGUAUUUCGGUACGUAAAGCUCUAUCAGCAGGGAAGAAAAUGACGGUACCUGACCAAGAAGCACUGGCCAACUACGUGCCAGCAGCCGCGGUAAUACGCAGGGGGCAAGCGUUAUCCGGAUUUACUGGGUGUAAAGGGAGUGUAGACGGCAGGGCAAGUCGGGGGUGAAAUGCCGGGGUCCAACCCCGGAACUGCGGUGGAAACUGGGAAGCUGGAGUGCAGGAGAGGUAAGCGGAAUUCCUGGUGUAGCGGUGAAAUGCGUAGAUAUCAGGAGGAACACCGGGGGCGAAGGCGGCUUACUGG
Molecule: ribosomal RNA, 377 nt
Filed under: uncultured bacterium
Lineage: Bacteria
Description: partial 16S ribosomal RNA
Rfam family: Bacterial small subunit ribosomal RNA
Source: RNAcentral